GACAGAGGUGCCAAGCGUUAGGCGGAAUCACUGGGCUUAAAGCGUGCGUAGGCGGAAUGGUAAGUACCUUGUGAAAUCCCACGGCUCAACCGUGGAACUGCUUGGUAUACUGCUUUUCUUGAGCCACUUAGGGGCAACCGGAACAAACGGUGGAGCGGUGAAAUGCGUAGAUAUCGUUUGGAACGCCAAUGGUGAAAACAGGUUGCUGGGAGUGUGCUGACGCUGAGGCACGAAAGCCAGGGGAGCAAACGGG
RNAcentral lists this ribosomal RNA (253 nucleotides) under uncultured bacterium. RNAcentral's name for it is "partial 16S ribosomal RNA". It matches the Rfam family "Bacterial small subunit ribosomal RNA", at positions 524 to 776 of the family's 1533-position model. The record is from RNAcentral.